RNAcentral lists this ribosomal RNA (981 nucleotides) under Octospora pseudoampezzana. RNAcentral describes it as "SSU rRNA". It matches the Rfam family "Eukaryotic small subunit ribosomal RNA", at positions 89 to 1082 of the family's 1831-position model. The record is from RNAcentral. Lineage: Eukaryota; Fungi; Ascomycota; Pezizomycetes; Pezizales; Pyronemataceae.
GCGAAUGGCUCAUUAAAUCAGUUAUCGUUUAUUUGAUAGUACCUUACUACUUGGAUAACCGUGGUAAUUCUAGAGCUAAUACAUGCUAAAAAUCCCGACCUCUGGACGGGAUGUAUUUAUUAGAUAAAAAACCAAUGCCUUCGGGCUUCCUGGUGAUUCAUAAUAACUUCACGAAUCGCAUGGCCUUGCGCCGGCGAUGGUUCAUUCAAAUUUCUGCCCUAUCAACUUUCGAUGGUAGGAUAGUGGCCUACCAUGGUUUCAACGGGUAACGGGGAAUUAGGGUUCGAUUCCGGAGAGGGAGCCUGAGAAACGGCUACCACAUCCAAGGAAGGCAGCAGGCGCGCAAAUUACCCAAUCCCGACACGGGGAGGUAGUGACAAUAAAUACUGAUACAGGGCCCAUUUGGGUCUUGUAAUUGGAAUGAGUACAAUUUAAAUCCUUUAACGAGGAACAAUUGGAGGGCAAGUCUGGUGCCAGCAGCCGCGGUAAUUCCAGCUCCAAUAGCGUAUAUUAAAGUUGUUGCAGUUAAAAAGCUCGUAGUUGAACUUUGGGUCUGGGUGACCGGUCCUCCUAAUCGAGUGCACUGGAAACCCGGAUCUUUCCUUCUGGAGAACCGCAUGCUCUUUACUGGGUGUGUUGGGGAACCAGGACUUUUACUUUGAAAAAAUUAGAGUGUUCAAAGCAGGCAUAUGCUCGAAUACAUUAGCAUGGAAUAAUAGAAUAGGACGUGCGGUUCUAUUUUGUUGGUUUCUAGGACCGCCGUAAUGAUUAAUAGGGAUAGUCGGGGGCAUCCGUAUUCGAUUGUCAGAGGUGAAAUUCUUGGAUUUUUCGAAGACGAACUACUGCGAAAGCAUUUGCCAAGGAUGUUUUCAUUAAUCAGGAACGAAAGUUGAGGGAUCGAAGACGAUCAGAUACCGUCGUAGUCUCAACCAUAAACUAUGCCGACUAGGGAUCGGGCGAUGUUUUAUUCUGACUCGCUCG